AAUCAACGCUGGCGGCGUGCCUAACACAUGCAAGUCGAACGCGAAAGCCCCGCAAGGGGUAAGUAGAGUGGCAAACGGGUGAGUAACACGUGGGUGACCUGCCUUCGAGUGGGGGAUAACGUCCCGAAAGGGACGCUAAUACCGCAUAACACCCUGCCUUUGAAGAGGUGGAGAUCAAAGCCGGGACCGCAAGGCCUGGCGCUCAAAGAGGGGCCCGCGCCUGAUUAGCUAGUUGGUGAGGUAAUGGCUCACCAAGGCAACGAUCAGUAUCCGGCCUGAGAGGGCGGACGGACACACUGGGACUGAGACACGGCCCAGACUCCUACGGGAGGCAGCAGUGGGGAAUUGUUCGCAAUGGGCGCAAGCCUGACGACGCAACGCCGCGUGGAGGAUGAAGACCU
RNAcentral lists this ribosomal RNA (401 nucleotides) under uncultured bacterium. Its description in RNAcentral is "bacterial SSU rRNA". It matches the Rfam family "Bacterial small subunit ribosomal RNA", at positions 29 to 417 of the family's 1533-position model. The record is from RNAcentral.